UCCCUGGUGGCUCAGACAGUAAAGCAUCUGCCUGCAAUGUAGGAGACCUGGGUUCGAUCCCUUGGUUGGGAA
RNAcentral lists this transfer RNA (72 nucleotides) under Bos taurus (domestic cattle). It matches the Rfam family "tRNA". From Rfam's summary of the family: Transfer RNA (tRNA) molecules are approximately 80 nucleotides in length. Their secondary structure includes four short double-helical elements and three loops (D, anti-codon, and T loops). The record is from Rfam by way of RNAcentral. RNAcentral also lists the same sequence under 2 other names. Lineage: Eukaryota; Metazoa; Chordata; Mammalia; Artiodactyla; Bovidae.